Molecule: ribosomal RNA, 1187 nt
Filed under: Phaeosphaeria sp. BFW1PhC3
Lineage: Eukaryota; Fungi; Ascomycota; Dothideomycetes; Pleosporales; Phaeosphaeriaceae
Description: SSU rRNA
Rfam family: Eukaryotic small subunit ribosomal RNA
Source: RNAcentral
UCUAGUAUAGCAAUUAUACCGUGAAACUGCGAAUGGCUCAUUAAAUCAGUUAUCGUUUAUUUGAUAGUACCUUACUACUUGGAUAACCGUGGUAAUUCUAGAGCUAAUACAUGCUGAAAACCCCAACUUCGGGAGGGGUGUAUUUAUUAGAUAAAAAACCAACGCCCUUCGGGGCUUUUUGGUGAUUCAUGAUAACUUUACGGAUCGCAUGGCCUUGCGCCGGCGACGGUUCAUUCAAAUUUCUGCCCUAUCAACUUUCGAUGGUAAGGUAUUGGCUUACCAUGGUUUCAACGGGUAACGGGGAAUUAGGGUUCGAUUCCGGAGAGGGAGCCUGAGAAACGGCUACCACAUCCAAGGAAGGCAGCAGGCGCGCAAAUUACCCAAUCCCGACACGGGGAGGUAGUGACAAUAAAUACUGAUACAGGGCUCUUUUGGGUCUUGUAAUUGGAAUGAGUACAAUUUAAACCUCUUAACGAGGAACAAUUGGAGGGCAAGUCUGGUGCCAGCAGCCGCGGUAAUUCCAGCUCCAAUAGCGUAUAUUAAAGUUGUUGCAGUUAAAAAGCUCGUAGUUGAACCUUGGGUCUGGCUGGCAGGUCCGCCUCACCGCGUGUACUUGUCCGGCCGGGCCUUCCUUCUGGAGAACCUCAUGCCCUUCACUGGGCGUGUUGGGGACCAGGACUUUUACUUUGAAAAAAUUAGAGUGUUCAAAGCAGGCCUUUGCUCGAAUACGUUAGCAUGGAAUAAUAGAAUAGGACGUGCGGUCCUAUUUUGUUGGUUUCUAGGACCGCCGUAAUGAUUAAUAGGGACAGUCGGGGGCAUCAGUAUUCAAUUGUCAGAGGUGAAAUUCUUGGAUUUAUUGAAGACUAACUACUGCGAAAGCAUUUGCCAAGGAUGUUUUCAUUAAUCAGUGAACGAAGUUAGGGGAUCGAAGACGAUCAGAUACCGUCGUAGUCUACCGUAACUAUGCCGACUAGGGAUCGGGCGAUGUCUUUUUCUGACUCGCUCGCACUUACGAGAAUCAAAGUUUUGGCUCUGGGGGGAGUAUGUCGCAGCUGGAACUAAGAACUGACGGAAGUCACACUAGGCGUGAACUGCGGCUUAAUGGACUCAGCACGUGACCCGCAGUCCAGAUGCCAGAGGCGCACUGCAAGUGACGCACUUUACUGGAAAUUACGUCUGCUCGUUUC